Long non-coding RNA from Ochotona princeps (American pika), 684 nucleotides. RefSeq lists it as uncharacterized. The record is from RefSeq and is a predicted model, not a curated record. The transcript has 3 exons. Lineage: Eukaryota; Metazoa; Chordata; Mammalia; Lagomorpha; Ochotonidae.
GAGGUGGACAAAGUCAACCUGGGCCAAUGAUCCACUGGUGUGCAUGAGAACUGCCACUGGGAGGAGAUUCGAUGGAGGAGCUUGGGAAACUCCUCCAUUGGGAUGCAGUCUCUGCAGCUUCCAGCCCCUGGCUUCCAACUUACGUCCCACCAAGGCAGACCCUGAGAAGCUGCAGUGAUGGUUCAAGUAAUUGGAUUCCUGCCACUCCUAUGGCAGACUAAGAGUGCUUCCUGGCUCCUGGCCCCAGCCCCAGAACCCGCCCUGGCCUGAGCACAGCCCUUUCUGUAUACGGUCCCUUGUUUCAAUUUGUGCCAGCUCUGAAGGACCAUCCCAGUCCCAGAGUGCCUAUGGAAUCAGCAAAGUGCAACGUAAUUUAGCUCUUCUUUUCUCCAGUCUCUCUGGCCACCUGCCCAAGUCUUCCCCCGGUGAAGCUGCUGCAGGGGAGGGGAGUGUUUCCGCCUCUUUGCCCCUUGCCCAUCGCUCUCUGUCCUUUAACAAUCCACCCAUCUGCUUUCUCAGCGUGUUUCUACUUUCUGGUUCCCAGUGUUAUUUGCCUCUGUCCCUUUCUUUAUCUGUGCUUGCUGCUCUAGUCUCUUGGUCUCGUUUACUUCCUGUUAUCCCUUAUUCCUUUCCUGCUCCCUCCUGGAAGCUCCCCAAACUACCCUCCACCCCUGUCUUUCAGUU